UGGGGAAUAUUGCACAAUGGGGAAAGCCCUGAUGCAGCGACGCCGCGUGAAGGAAGAAGUAUCUCGGUAUGUAAACUUCUAUCAGCAGGGAAGAAAAUGACGGUACCUGACUAAGAAGCCCCGGCUAACUACGUGCCAGCAGCCGCGGUAAUACGUAGGUGGCAAGCGUUGUCCGGAAUUACUGGGUGUAAAGGGUGCGCAGGCGGGACUGCAAGUUGGAUGUGAAAUACCGGGGCUUAACCCCGGGCUGCAUCCAAACUGUGGUUCUUGAGUGGAGUAGAGGUAAGCGGAAUUCCGAGUGUAGCGGUGAAAUGCGUAGAUAUUCGGAGGAACACCAGUGGCGAAGGCGGCUUACUGGGCUCUAACUGACGCUGAGGCACGAAAGCAUGGGUAGCAAACAGGAUUAGAUACC
This 412-nucleotide ribosomal RNA is filed under the name uncultured bacterium. RNAcentral's name for it is "bacterial SSU rRNA". It matches the Rfam family "Bacterial small subunit ribosomal RNA", at positions 355 to 786 of the family's 1533-position model. The record is from RNAcentral.